RNAcentral lists this unclassified non-coding RNA (388 nucleotides) under Hevea brasiliensis (rubber tree). The record is from RNAcentral. Lineage: Eukaryota; Viridiplantae; Streptophyta; Magnoliopsida; Malpighiales; Euphorbiaceae.
CACGGAUUCUGUUUAAUAAUGAUGGCCACCUUCAAGAUGUACAAUAAGAUUUAAAUGGAGCAAGUAGACAAAAUAUAGACAGGUUUUGGGUUGUGAGUUGUGACAUGAUCUGAUUAAAUACAGUUUCUCUAUAUAGCCUGUCCCCCACAACUUUGAAAAAGUUGCAUCAAGCAAACACCUUCAGCCACCAAACUUAGCUCCACAGAAUUGACAUCUUUAAUUGAUGCAAUAUUUGAAUGCACAGUCGUGUCUGCCAGGACGUUCUUUCACAAGCUAGAUUCUACUCUACUUAUGAUCUUCAGAGAUGUCAAUGUGAAUCAGAUGCAACAUUUCCAUGUGGCAACACUUCCAAGCAUGAUGAGUCCAUCCAAGGUUUAAAAACUCCUUC